This 461-nucleotide long non-coding RNA is filed under the name Homo sapiens (human). Its description in RNAcentral is "long non-coding RNA NONHSAT194863.1". Lineage: Eukaryota; Metazoa; Chordata; Mammalia; Primates; Hominidae. The record is from RNAcentral.
GGAAACUAAGAAAAAAUUCAAACUUGAGCCACAUGAUGAUCAGGUUUUUCUGGAUGGAAAUGAGGUGUAUGUAUGGAUCUAUGACCCAGUUCACUUUAAAACAUUUGUCAUGGGAUUAAUUCUUGUGAUUGCAGUAAUAGCGGCCACCCUCUUCCCCCUUUGGCCAGCAGAAAUGAGAGUAGGUGUUUAUUACCUCAGUGUGGGUGCAGGCUGUUUUGUAGCCAGUAUUCUUCUCCUUGCUGUUGCUCGAUGCAUUCUAUUUCUCAUCAUUUGGCUCAUAACUGGAGGAAGGCACCACUUUUGGUUCUUGCCAAAUCUGACUGCUGAUGUGGGCUUCAUUGACUCCUUCAGGCCUCUGUACACACAUGAAUACAAAGGACCAAAAGCAGACUUAAAGAAAGAUGAGAAGUCUGAAACCAAAAAGCAACAGAAGUCCGACAGUGAGGAAAAGUCAGACAGUG